GAUGAACGCUGGCGGCGUGCCUAAUACAUGCAAGUCGAGCGAACGGACGAGAAGCUUGCUUCUCUGAUGUUAGCGGCGGACGGGUGAGUAACACGUGGAUAACCUACCUAUAAGACUGGGAUAACUUCGGGAAACCGGAGCUAAUACCGGAUAAUAUUUUGAACCGCAUGGUUCAAAAGUGAAAGACGGUUUUGCUGUCACUUAUAGAUGGAUCCGCGCUGCAUUAGCUAGUUGGUAAGGUAACGGCUUACCAAGGCAACGAUGCAUAGCCGACCUGAGAGGGUGAUCGGCCACACUGGAACUGAGACACGGUCCAGACUACUACGGGAGGCAGCAGUAGGGAAUCUUCCGCAAUGGGCGAAAGCCUGACGGAGCAACGCCGCGUGAGUGAUGAAGGUCUUCGGAUCGUAAAACUCUGUUAUUAGGGAAGAACAAAUGUGUAAGUAACUGUGCACAUCUUGACGGUACCUAAUCAGAAAGCCACGGCUAACUACGUG
Molecule: ribosomal RNA, 497 nt
Filed under: uncultured bacterium
Lineage: Bacteria
Description: partial 16S ribosomal RNA
Rfam family: Bacterial small subunit ribosomal RNA
Source: RNAcentral